UACGAAGGGGGCGAGCGUUGUUCGGAUUUACUGGGCGUAAAGGGCGCGUAGGCGGCCCUCCUUGUCGCGUGUGAAAACCCAGGGCUCAACCCUGGGCCUGCAUUCGAUACGGGUAGACUAGAGUAUGGCAGGGGAGACUGGAAUUCCUGGUGUAGCGGUGAAAUGCGCAGAUAUCAGGAGGAACACCGGUGGCGAAGGCGGGUCUCUGGGCCAAAACUGACGCUGAGGAGCGAAAGCGUGGGGAGCGAACAGG
RNAcentral lists this ribosomal RNA (253 nucleotides) under uncultured bacterium. RNAcentral's name for it is "partial 16S ribosomal RNA". It matches the Rfam family "Bacterial small subunit ribosomal RNA", at positions 524 to 776 of the family's 1533-position model. The record is from RNAcentral.